UUCCUUCCAUGUCAGACACCGACACGUGGGGCACCCUGCAUACGAGCACGAACGCUGAACCAUCCCAGAAAAAUCGUCGGUGCCUGUAACAACCGCGUAACAACCGGGCAUGAGCCGACAGAUGGCGUUACAGGUUUAUAAAACCCGAUUCCCAUGUGCCUUCCGCCAUAACCAGGCUUGGGAGCUAGCGCAACCUUGCAUGGAUGAUUACGCUGAAGCACAGCGACGAGUAGGAGAGAGAGAAUAGAGCCGCUGCGACCACGCCUCGCGUUCACCAUCUCCCAGCCUCUCGAUCGCUGGGGAAUUGGGCGAGAUCACCAAGUCGUGCAGAUCGUGCGUGUGGUCAGCAGAGCAAGGAAGUUGGCGGGGGAGACGAAUUGCUUGCCGGUGCUUGGCCGAAUCCUCACCGGGAAUCCUCGGGCGGCACUGCAGCGUCGACCGGCCGCAUCGACGUCUUUUCGAGUGGUGAGACCCUACUAAAUUACUCGCCGUAGCAUCCGCAUAGAUGAUCCCCAUUCAAUUUCCGAAUUUAGACCUAGAAAUCGGCAGGGUUGGUUCGCCACCAAUGGCGACGUCGUGCCUUAGCGUUCUGUCGCCGGUCGGGCACCGUGGUGAGAGAGAGAGGAUUGGGGGGGAGAAAAAUGAAGGGCUUGGGCUGUUGGAUCAUACACGGACGGCGCCGAUCUAACCACGCAUACCCCUUCGCUCAAUAGGAUUUGGGCCGUAGAUCUGAGAUCAAGCGAUCAGGAUUUGAUCAUAGUCAUUCUUAAUCUGGACUGACGAUCUUUAAUCCGGUGGUCCUCAUGGCUUACCGGUUCAUUUUUAAUGAAGUCUAAUCCUGGCCGUGGAAUUUAGAUCUGACGGCUGAAGUCAGCCCGUACCCCUUCGGCCGGGGAUAAUUGCAUGUGAGCCCUCAUAAAACUAUCAAAUAAACCCGUCGUCCACUCACGUGGAAAACUAAUUAAAUCUAGGUCCUGAGUUUCACAGUUUAGACCCUGUGUUUUCUAGAAAUUGUGUUCGCAGGCCAGAAUUAAUAGGGAUAUUCAUAAUUAAAUCAGAAAAUGAUUUUUUUUAUAAAAAUAAAUCUAGGAACUUGUUUAAUUCAUAGUUAAUUCAUUUUAGCUCCAGAUUGAGUUAUUCCAGUUGCAAUAAUUUUGUUUUAAUAUUAUCUUUCAUCUAGUGCUUCUGUUUAGCCAUAAAACUUGAAUUAAAAAUGUUCAUUUGAAUUAAUCUAUUCUAGGUGCUUAACAACUCCAGAAAUUCAUAACUUGUUAACCGUAACUCCGAAUUUAGUAAUUCUUGUUCUUAUGAUCUCGUUACGCAGCUUAGAAUAUUAUUAUGUAGUUUGAUCUUAUAUUUGGUGUGAUGUUAAUUUUGCAUAUACAUGUUUGUCUGUAUUGCUACGUUUAGCAAUGAGGACACAAGUUACCUGAAGAUCAUCCUGGUACCUGGAAUCUCAUGUCCCAGGCAAGUUGUGCCCUUGAUCACUUCUUUUUACCCAGUCAUGUUCUGAUUAAUCAUAAUGAUCUGCAUAGGUUAAUUUUGAUGGGACCCAAUAGGUUACCCUAGUUUGAUUAUCUUUAUACCUUGAUUACCACUGGACUUUUUGGGUAGUACCUGCUAUUGCUUUAUGUGGUUUUGGGUAUGAAGAUUACAUUAUUCAUGAUUACACUUUUGUUAUUAGUUGUUAUUUACUAUUCAUGAUAAGAUCAUUAUGUUAAUUGGAACAUGGAGAACCACCCGGGAAAACAGUGCUACCACAAGGGUUUAUGGACGCCCUUGGCUGAUUAACUAGGAAAGCUAGUGGAGGUCUACCUUACCCGAAAGGGGCAAGGGCAGUAGGGGAGUGGUCAGUGUAGGAAGGUCCUUAGUUGAUUUUGCUGCGAUGGCGGUCAGGCAAGAACCCUGCAUUGGAGCUUCCUAUAAACUGUAGCGGGAUUUCUGAAGCUAGUGGACCUUUGUAAAGGCCUCGUAGUGUUACCCUGCCUCGCCUCCUCGGUAGAGGUGUAUGGGAUUGGCCGUCUCUUGGCAGAUGGGUAACAUGACUUGUGGGUAAAGAUGCGCAACCUCUGCAGAGUGUAAAACUGGUAUACUAGCCGUGCUCACGGUCAUGAGCGGCUCGGACACUCACAUGAUUAAAUUAUGGAACUUAAACUCAAUUUGUCAUAUGCAUUGCAUCGCAGGUGAGGUUGUUACUUUUAUUCUACUAAAUUGGGCUGGUAUUUACUUAUACUUAGUAAUUGCUAAUAAAAUUUUGACCAACUUUAAAAGCAAUGCUUAGCUCUAACCAUCCUCUUUGGUAAGCCUUACACUUCACGUGAGCUCCCACCUUUGGCGAGUUCAUGCACAUUAUUCCCCACAACUUGUUGAGCGAUGAACGUAUGUGAGCUCACUCUUGCUGUCUCACACCCCCCCCACAGGUCAAGAACAGGUACCACAGGAUGAGGCGCUUGGAGGAUGCUGUGACAAGUUCGUGAGAGGUCUAGGUCGUCGUCUCCCAGUCAACUUUGGGUUGCUGGACCGUUGUCUCCAUAUAAUGUAUUUAUUUAUUUAUUUUGUACAAAACUCCGAUUAUAUAGUAAAGAUGUGACAUUCGAUCAUGUGCCAUGAUUCAUCAUAUGUGUGAGACUUGGUCCCAGCACACCUGGUGAUUAUGUUCGCGCACGAGUCUUGGUGCCCCGAAACCCGGGUGUAACAAUUACAUAGACGUGGUUGAAAUGUUUCGGUGGUAGGUCGUAGUAUGGUUGUGUUCAUGAUUUUGAGUUAGAGAUUGGUGGUUGACGAUUCGUAUAAAUUGGUUGAUGAUGUGCAUGUGUGAUUAUAUGUGUAAAAAAAUUGUAUUGGUAUGGAUGGAAGUUUGUAGUGAAAGAAAAUGAGUAAGGAACUGGGCUCGGAUGUUUUUAAGUUUUGG
Molecule: long non-coding RNA, 2911 nt
Filed under: Zea mays
Lineage: Eukaryota; Viridiplantae; Streptophyta; Magnoliopsida; Poales; Poaceae
Description: long non-coding RNA (ZMAY_LNC000877)
Source: RNAcentral